This 728-nucleotide long non-coding RNA is filed under the name Homo sapiens (human). RNAcentral's name for it is "non-protein coding lnc-ZNF83-2:3". The record is from RNAcentral. Lineage: Eukaryota; Metazoa; Chordata; Mammalia; Primates; Hominidae.
CCUGGCUUCUGUACUGCGCGCGCACAUGCGCGCAAACCCGGAAGCGGAUUAUGUGGAGUGAAAGUUACACCGUGGCGGAUUGACUUCUAAGGACUCUUGGUACAUGAGGAAGAAACCCGGAAGGGGAAGAGGAAAGCAAAGGCGUCAGGAAUGGUUCUUCCUCAGGGUCUAUUGACAUUCAGGGAUGUGGCCAUAGAAUUCUCUCAGGAGGAGUGGAAAUGCCUGGACCCUGCUCAGAGGACUCUAUACAGAGAUGUGAUGUUGGAGAAUUAUAGGAACCUGGUCUCCCUGGGUGAGGAUAACUUCCCUCCAGAAGUGGGGAUGUUCCCUUGUGUAUCUUUGCAUUUUCUCUUGUUUCUCUUGGGAGUUGCAUCCUUGCUUGACUAAAAUGGAAGCCGUAUUGAUUUUGAAAUGAAAAGCUUCAUGAUGUAGCAUCUGGACUUUCACUGUCCCCUUUUUUAGAUGUUCUGCGUUCUUCAUGAUAGCUCAGUGGGGGUUCCAGAAGUAAAGAAGGCUUAAAACCUUAUGGCUGGCAAGGCGUGGUGACUCAUGCCUGUAAUCCCAGCACUUUGGGAGGCCAAAGCUUGUGGAUCACUUCAGGUCAGGAGUUCGAUACUAGCCUCACCAACAUGGCGAAACGUCAUCUCUACUAAAAAUACAAAAAUUGGCCAGGCGCGGUGGCUCACGCCUGUAAUCCCAGCACUCUGGGAGGCUGAUGAGGGCGGAUC